RNAcentral lists this ribosomal RNA (395 nucleotides) under Babesia gibsoni. RNAcentral's name for it is "SSU rRNA". It matches the Rfam family "Eukaryotic small subunit ribosomal RNA", at positions 451 to 902 of the family's 1831-position model. The record is from RNAcentral. Lineage: Eukaryota; Apicomplexa; Aconoidasida; Piroplasmida; Babesiidae.
CUGACACAGGGAGGUAGUGACAAGAAAUAACAAUACAGGGCAAUUGUCUUGUAAUUGGAAUGAUGGUGACGUAAAAUCUCACCAGAGUAACAAUUGGAGGGCAAGUCUGGUGCCAGCAGCCGCGGUAAUUCCAGCUCCAAUAGCGUAUAUUAAACUUGUUGCAGUUAAAAAGCUCGUAGUUGAAUUUCUGCGUUGCCCGACUCGGCUACUUGCCUUGUCUGGUUUCGCUUUUGGGGUUUUCCCCUUUUUACUUUGAGAAAAUUAGAGUGUUUCAAGCAGACUUGUGUCUUGAAUACUUCAGCAUGGAAUAAUAAAGUAGGACUUUGGUUCUAUUUUGUUGGUUUGUGAACCUUAGUAAUGGUUAAUAGGAACGGUUGGGGGCAUUCGUAUUUAAC